Long non-coding RNA from Leopardus geoffroyi (Geoffroy's cat), 737 nucleotides. RefSeq lists it as uncharacterized. The record is from RefSeq and is a predicted model, not a curated record. NCBI's taxonomy places the organism in Eukaryota, Metazoa, Chordata, Mammalia, Carnivora, Felidae. The transcript has 4 exons.
GCGGCGUGAUGCGCUGGGCUCUGUCGCGCUGCAAGCUCUCUGCCCGCCGCCAACCUUGUGACGCCGCAGGACGCUGAAAGGGACUGUGUAGGUGAAUAAGAGCCGUGGCGUGUCGACGCCACAACACUGUCUCUGGAUCUAAGGAAACACGUGAAACGUAUGGUUUGAAACAUACUGGGUCACCCUGGAUCUCAAUAGCAGAAAGUCGCUCAAGGAGGAUUUAGGGAAAGAGGAAGAGAGGCCUUCUGUUUCAACAGCUGUACAGGCUACUUAGUAUUUGUUACCUUGUUUAGGCCUCCAGACACUUCACCAUCAUCUCCAGUUUGUAAACGCAGAACCUGAGAUUUACAUCAAUGAAGCGACCUGCCCCAAACAAUACAGGUUGAAAAAAAAGUUUAUGUUUUCCCCUCCAUCCGUUAUGACUACAUCCCGCCAUCCGUUAUGGCUAGCAAUAUUGUAUUCGCAUGACACAAAAAACCAAGUGAAAAAUUCAGCGGAGAAAGAAAGAAACUGAUUCUAUAGUCCAAAACCAACAUCAACUGUUUGAACUGGUGUCACUGGCAUUACCUGUGUUUUAAGCCUAUUUUUUCGGCACACGAACUUGGCAAAUGUGGGCCGGGUUUGUUUGAAGUUGGAAUUACGUUGGAAAAUCCAGUGGUGGUAUUUGCGGAACUUAGAAUACAGACAGGCGUUCCAUCAACUCUCGUUGCAUUGUACGUGCUGUCCCAACUCAGCUA